Molecule: long non-coding RNA, 221 nt
Filed under: Lathyrus oleraceus (garden pea)
Lineage: Eukaryota; Viridiplantae; Streptophyta; Magnoliopsida; Fabales; Fabaceae
Description: Pisum sativum (pea) long non-coding RNA (PSAT_LNC013426)
Source: RNAcentral
AUUUACCUACCUUGGUGUCCUUAUUUACAAGGGGAGGCCAAAAAGUUCUUAUUUUCAACCUAUUGCUGACAAAAUCAAAAAUAAACUUACUACUUGGAAAGUCUAUCUACUGUCCAUUGUGGGUAGAAUCCAGCUAGUGAAGUGUGUUAUGUAGGGUAUGCUGAUGCAUUCUCUCAUGAUUUAUUCUUUGCAAUCAGUUUAAUUAAAGAGGUGGAGAGAUG